This 4262-nucleotide long non-coding RNA is filed under the name Salvia miltiorrhiza (redroot sage). Its description in RNAcentral is "long non-coding RNA (SMIL_LNC008295)". Lineage: Eukaryota; Viridiplantae; Streptophyta; Magnoliopsida; Lamiales; Lamiaceae. The record is from RNAcentral.
CCUCAUGCUACCCUUUUGUUCUUCACCAGAUGACACACAAUAAUGUUGAACGUCACGCCACCAGGCACGCAGCCGCUCCUUUCCAUCUCCACCAUCAACCUCCUUGCCUCCGCUUCGCGCCCUUCACGGUAGAGGGAGUCGAGCAUCAUGGUGUAGGUAUAUGCGCUAGGAUUUAAGCCCUUGGAAGGGAGAUGGUUGAAGAGCCUCGUAGCAUCAUCGAGUCUUCUGCUCUUGCACAAGCCGUUGAUCAGAACAUUAUACGUUACAAUAUCAGGUUUCAUGCCUUCUGCCUCCAUCAUCGUCAAAAACGCAAACGCCUCAUCGAUCCGACUUAUCCGACACAAGCCAUCCAACAAGAUGUUGUAGGUGUAGACAUUCGGAUGUAGAUUCUGAGCUUCCAUAUCUUGGAAAAGCUUCCACCCAUCUGAAAAACUACUUUGGCGUAUUAGCCCAUGCAUCAUCAUGUUGUAUGAUACGGUUGAGUGUUUGAGACCUACACGUGAGAUUUCAUCAAAGAAAUGCAAAGCUUCAUCAAGGUUUCCCGUCUUGCAGUAUCCCUUAAUCAAGAUAUUAUAGGUGACUAUACUUUGGUUGAUCCCCGUCCUUUCCAUUGAAGCGAAGAGCUCUCUGGCUCUAACCAUCUCGCCCUGCGAGCAAUAUUGAUCUAUCAAUAUGUUGCACGUGACAACACUAGGCGAGAUGCCCUUCUCCAUCAUCUCGGACAGCAAAAGCAGAGCUUCAUCAACCAUCCCACGCUUCGAUAACCCAUCCAAUAAUGUAUUAUAAGUCCGCACAUUAUGCUCGAGACCUUUAUCGCGAAUUUCAAGAAAUAUAAGCCAAGCUUCAUCCAAGCUUCCUUUCUUGCAAUAUCCAUUUAGCAAGGUGUUAUAGUUAACAAUAUCGGGUGUAAGGCCCCUCUCUACCAUGGAAUCAAGUAACUGUUUCGCUCUUUCGAUUUCGCCCUUCAGGCAGAGCCCUUCAAUAAGCGAAGAAUAAGUAGAGACAGUGGGAUAAAUAUUUUGUUGCGUCAUGAUUUCCAACAUAUUCUCAGCCGAUUCCAUCUUUUCUUCCUUACAAUAUGCAUUAAUCAUGGAAUUAUAAGUGACAACGUUAGGUAAAAUACCCUUCCCAACCAUUUUGGAUAGAACCUUGAAGGCAUUGUCCACCAUUCCACACUUCCAAAAUCCAUCAAUUAGUGCACUAUAAGUGUAAACGUCGGGACCCCACCCACUACUUUCUAAUCUAUGAAGCCAAUCUUGGGCUUCAAUGGCCUGUCCAGCUUUGCACAGCCCAUCAAUCAGUUGCAGAUUCAUAAGACGAUUUGGCUCGCAAAGUUUUAAAUCCAGAAUCUUUUCGAACAAUUUCACAGCUUCAGCCUCCUUAUUAACUAAGAAUAACCCUUUUAUGAGAGUGCUGAAAGUCGUGACGUCUGGUUCGUAACCUCUCUUGAGAAAGAAUCCCAUUACAGCAAAAGCAGAGUACAUAUCUUUCAAGAGACAACAACAGUUGACAGCAAUAUUCAUUGUGUAAUCACAAACGGGAACACCCAUCCUAAGCAUUUCAUCGAACACAUGAAGGGCAAAAUAAUACUGCUCAAUCUUUACACUAACACUCAUGAGUUUGCUGUAGAGGCGAACAGAAGGCUCCGGCCGCAUAAUCUUUAUUUUUUGAAACAAUUCAAUAACAUCGUCUACUUCUUUAGCACAACUGAAAUCAAUUGUGGGCUGCUUAGGUUGAAAAGCCUCGGAAGAGAAGAGAGAGAACAUAGGAGAGAGAAUACCCGAUUUAUGCGACCAUCGAUUGAGAAAUCCUCUUCCAUGAAUGAGAUUUAUUGCAGAAACAGCAGCUCUUCUGCUCAUCAUCGUUAAUCGGCGGCGAGAUUUAGAUCUGAAUAAAGGUAAACAAGUGAGAAACCUACCAGCAAAAAUGGGAGAUCGAGCUUUGUUUGCUUCUUCAGAUUUAGGAAUUUUGUUGUUUGAUUUUAAGGUGGGCCCAAUCUCAUUCUAUCUUAUAUAUUGGGCCCAAAUAUGAGGUGAUUUCAAUUUUGCCCAAUAACUUUAGAGCCUCUUCAGCAGAAGUUGAGAAUUUUAAGUUUAAAUAUUCAAUUAUUUCGAGAGUUGUGUAUUAUUAUUAUUAUUAUUAUUAUUAUUAUUAUUAUUAUUAUUAUUAUUCUUAUUAUUAUUAUUAUUGAUCUUGUUGUUGUUGCCGUACGCCAUUCAUGCGAUGCACGAGCCAUAAUAUAUUGAUAAUUAAAAAAUAAAUAAAAUUAUAUAAAAAUGUCAAAAUAUUAGUAUCAUUUAUAAGUUAAAUUAGUAUUUGGUAACAAAAAGUAAUUUCUGUUAAUUAAAAUAUUAUGCGAUUUGAAAUUGUAUAUCAUAAAACUAUUAUCAAUUCAAUGAGCACAAUAUUAAAUUUAAUGAGUAUCGCAUAGUAAUAAUUAAAUUUAGAUAUUGUAAAGAAAGUAAUUUAAGUCAAUCUCUUUUUGAACAAAUAAUCUUAAACCAUCAAUAUCAAAAAAAAAGUUUAAUUAAUAAUCUAAAAAUACAAAAUCGGUUAAACAAAUGGAUUGGGCAUAUGAUAUUCUUAAACAAAUGAAAGUAAACAAAGAAUUAUUCAAAAUCCAAUAAUAAAAAUCAACAAUGAAGCAACAUGAGAAAGCGAGGUGCAUUUAGGGAGAAGGAUCAAUAAUGGUUUGCGUUUUCUCCUUCACGGUGACUCGAACCUUCCAAUUUAAUGGUUUACGAGGAAGCGCCUUACGUCUUACCAACCGAGCUGGACUUCGUGGUGACUCGAACCCCCCAAUUUAAUGGUUUGAGAGGAAGCGUCUUACGUUUUACCAACUGAGCUGCGUUUCAUUGUCAGUGAGGUGCAUUAAUCAGUUAAGGGUAGGCUUCUGGAACUUUCCAUGAACAAAUACUCUCUUCAUCACCUUUCCAUUCUGCUGGUUUGCUGCAUUGACACAGCAGUAUUCAAGUUCAACCUACAACAACAAUCAUCUCCAACUCAAUCAAUAUAUUAUCGAAACUAAUAAUGCUGCUAAAUGUCUAAAAACAAAUAUCUUCCUCUAGUUCGUAUCGAGCUAAAACAUACAAUAAAUCGAAGUGAAACUAAAAUCCUCUUCAAAAUGAGCAAAAUUGAUGAAUCUAGAGAUGAACAGAGAGUUGAAUGUAUGAACGUAUAAAAUACAAUUCUAGCAAAUGAGAAAAUCCAAAGGCUAAACUCUUCCAAGUAGCGGAAAUGGCUGAUGGAAAACAAACGAAACCAGACAACACGGGGUGAAUUCAUCACACGCAAAUGCUUGCAAAAUAACAACAAGACGAGAAACUCAAAGCAGAUGGAUCCGUACUAGCACAAGACACAGCGCAGAAAGACCACCCGACAGUGGAACUCCGUUCGAGUAUAUAUCAUUCUUAGCAUUCUAUGAAUCACUUCUUGACAACUGAACCGGAGUAAAAAUCCCACGUGAUUUAUUUUCCUGCGUAAAAGAAUGGCAACGAAACAGGAAACAGUUCAGCAGAAGCUACUUUCAACAGUAAACAGGAACCCUAGAUGUUCGAGUUGAGAAAGUGGUGAUCUUUCACACUAAAACCAUCUUCUUUUUUUUUUUAAUUCUUUUUGGCGUAAAAUCUCAUUGAAUUUUAAACAACCUUACCACCACACAAACUGACAACAACAAUGGUUAGAGAGAGAGAGAGAGAGCAUAAAGAUUACUGCAUUCAACUCCAACGACAACAACAAAGGUUAUAACAAGAAGAUGAAUAGAAUCAAAUGUAACUUCACUCAAGUAUUCAUACCUCAAAAUAGAACAUUCACUUGUCGAUUUUGAGCACAAACUUUCUUAAGAAUCUCUUGCAAUUUCUCAUCUUUACCUUCUCCUAUUCUAAGUUCCUCAAGCAAUGCAGAAAUGAUUUCUGAAUUAACCUCAAGUCCUCUCCUGCACAUCUCCUCCAAGAAAGGUAUUGCCUCAUGCACCCUUUUGCUCUUCACCAGAUGGCACACAAUAAUGUUGUACGUCACGCCAUCAGGCACGCAGCCGCUCCUUUCCAUCUCCACCAUCAACCUCCUUGCCUGCGCUUUGCGCCUUUCAUGGUAGAGGGAGUCGAUCAUCAUGUUGUAGGUAUAUGCGCUAGGAUUUAAGCCCUUGGAAGGGAGAUGGUUGAAGAGCCUCGUAGCAUCAUUGAGUCUUCCGCCCUUGCACAAGCCGUUGAUCAGAACACUAUACGUUACAAUAUCAGGUUUCACGCCUUCUGCCUCCAUCACCG